GCCCCUGUGGCGCAAUGGUAGCGCAGCCGAUUUGUAAUUGGCAGGUUUGGGGUUCGAGUCCCCACGGGGGCUCCG
RNAcentral lists this transfer RNA (75 nucleotides) under Dehalococcoidia bacterium. Its description in RNAcentral is "tRNA-Thr". It matches the Rfam family "tRNA". From Rfam's summary of the family: Transfer RNA (tRNA) molecules are approximately 80 nucleotides in length. The record is from RNAcentral. Lineage: Bacteria; Bacillati; Chloroflexota; Dehalococcoidia.